UGAAGGUGGAGAUGGUGAUGGAGUCGGUCCAAAAGGCGCAGGGCUGCAUGCUCGUGAAGCCACCAUCGAUGUACCUCUGCAGUUGAGCGGUUGGUAAUCUACUGGAUCACCUAGCAGACUGGCAAUCUAGUCAGACCUGACAUCCCUACCUUAAAGAGUGGGUGGCUUUGAUGUACCCAGAGUCUCUGCUGACUACCAGCUUUCUGUGACCCUGCCGCUGUCCUGGACCAGGCCCUGGACUCAAAGGACGGACGGCGACAGAGGUCCCAGGAAGAACUUCUUCACCUCGGCCAGGCC
This is a long non-coding RNA of Psammomys obesus (fat sand rat), 297 nucleotides long. RefSeq lists it as uncharacterized. The transcript is spliced from 3 exons. The record is from RefSeq and is a predicted model, not a curated record. NCBI's taxonomy places the organism in Eukaryota, Metazoa, Chordata, Mammalia, Rodentia, Muridae.